AACUUACCUCUAAUUUAACAUCUUGUUGCUAGUGUUACUAAUUUACUUUACAGCUGUUAGAUUAGAGGCAAAACAGGAAGUGGAGAAACAGCGUUAUAAGAUGUUUUAAUGCUGGGUGAUGAUUUGUGGUGUCAGGUGAUUUGUUGACUACUGUUUGAAUGUAUUUGCGUCAUGUAAUGUAGUGCUGUUAUGGAUUAGGUCCAGAAAAAUGUCACUAAGUGGCGUUGGAGAGUUCCUAGUAGUUCUUUCCCUACUUGCCCUUUAAUAAAACCACUGGCUUUGUCUGUCGUACUUUCUGCUCAUUGACAUUCAAAACAGACAUCAGUAAAAUUGGGGUGGGGAAACAAUUUCUUAGGUAAUGUCUGCUACCAUGGAAAACCCCAUGUUCUACUUGAUCUUUAUUUAUUUAAAGUGCCAGCUGUCACUGUUUGGCUUUUUUUAGCCCAUGAUAUUUCUAAGGUUUCUUUGAAUUACUUUUUUUUUCUUUUUUUUUUGCUUUUUGUGACCUGAUUUGCCUCAGACAAACCUGUUUUGAAGCCCAUGUCAAAAGCCAACACACAGGAAGCUGGAGAAACAAACAACAUGCUUCCUGAGGGUGACCUGGUUUAUAGAUUUCCCAUGUUGAUGGCAGACAUAUGGUUCAGAACCAAUAAAAAAGUGAGACACGGAAGAUCACUGGAACCGUAGAUGGAUUGAUGGGUUGCCGAGUAUCAUGAUCGGCACAAAUCUUGUCAUUCAGUGAUCUUUACAUGACUCAGCUGCUAAACGUCUGUCCCCUAAUGAAGUCUUUAAACUAUAUUACAUGCACCAAGUGGAAUGCCAUUGCAUCCUGUCUGUGGUUUUGACUUGUUUUCAUUUACUUUACACCUGAAAGCUCAGCGGGUUUUCAAUUUAAAAUGAGGAAUUUUCCAAGAGUCAGGUUUAACCUUUGACUCACCAACCUAAUGAUCGAAACCCAAGACUGAACCAAGAGAAAACACACAAGUCAGUUCAGUUAGAUUCCAGUUCAUGAACUAAACGUGAGUGUUAGUGCCUCUUUACUGAAUUAGAGGCCUGAAGGCAAAGGUGCAUUCUUAGGUUGCUUUGUGGGCUUUGGUGAAUAAAUUAUCGCUGCUGAUGUAGAACCAAGCACAAC
Molecule: long non-coding RNA, 1135 nt
Organism: Astatotilapia calliptera (eastern happy)
Lineage: Eukaryota; Metazoa; Chordata; Actinopteri; Cichliformes; Cichlidae
Source: Ensembl